This 390-nucleotide ribosomal RNA is filed under the name uncultured bacterium. Its description in RNAcentral is "bacterial SSU rRNA". It matches the Rfam family "Bacterial small subunit ribosomal RNA", at positions 28 to 418 of the family's 1533-position model. The record is from RNAcentral.
GACGAACGCUGGCGGCGUGCUUAACACAUGCAAGUCGAGCGGUAAGGCCCUUUCGGGGGUACACGAGCGGCGAACGGGUGAGUAACACGUGGGCGACCUGCCCUUAGUUCUGGGAUAAGCCUGGGAAACUGGGUCUAAUACCGGAUAUGACUCCAUGACGCAUGUUGUGGGGUGGAAAGCCUUGUGCGGCUAGGGAUGGGCCCGCGGCCUAUCAGCUUGUUGGUGGGGUGAUGGCCUACCAAGGCGACGACGGGUAGCCGGCCUGAGAGGGCGACCGGCCACACUGGGACUGAGACACGGCCCAGACUCCUACGGGAGGCAGCAGUGGGGAAGUCUUGCGCAAUGGGCGAAAGCCUGACGCAGCGACGCCGCGUGAGGGAUGACGGCCUC